GGUUAAGCGACUAAGCGUACACGGUGGAUGCCCUGGCAGUCAGAGGCGAUGAAGGACGUGCUAAUCUGCGAAAAGCGCCGGCGAGGUGAUAUGAACCCUUGACCCGGCGAUGUCCGAAUGGGGAAACCCAGUGCAAUCCGUUGCACUAUCGUUAACUGAAUACAUAGGUUAACGAGGCGAACCGGGGGAACUGAAACAUCUAAGUACCCCGAGGAAAAGAAAUCAACCGAGAUUCCCCCAGUAGCGGCGAGCGAACGGGGAGCAGCCCAGAGUCUGAAUCAGCUUGUGUGUUAGUGGAAGCGUCUGGAAAGUCGCACGGUACAGGGUGAAAGUCCCGUACACGAAAGCACACAGGCUGUGAACUCGAAGAGUAGGGCGGGACACGUGGUAUCCUGUCUGAAUAUGGGGGGACCAUCCUCCAAGGCUAAAUACUCCUGACUGACCGAUAGUGAACCAGUACCGUGAGGGAAAGGCGAAAAGAACCCCGGCGAGGGGAGUGAAAAAGAACCUGAAACCGUGUACGUACAAGCAGUGGGAGCACCUUCGGGUGUGACUGCGUACCUUUUGUAUAAUGGGUCAGCGACUUAUAUUCUGUAGCAAGGUUAACCGUAUAGGGGAGCCGAAGGGAAACCGAGUCUUAACUGGGCGUUAAGUUGCAGGGUAUAGACCCGAAACCCGGUGAUCUAGCCAUGGGCAGGUUGAAGGUUGGGUAACACUAACUGGAGGACCGAACCGACUAAUGUUGAAAAAUUAGCGGAUGACCUGUGGCUGGGGGUGAAAGGCCAAUCAAACCGGGAGAUAGCUGGUUCUCCCCGAAAGCUAUUUAGGUAGCGCCUCGUGAACUCAUCUUCGGGGGUAGAGCACUGUUUCGGCUAGGGGGCCAUCCCGGCUUACCAACCCGAUGCAAACUACGAAUACCGAAGAAUGUUAUCACGGGAGACACACGGCGGGUGCUAACGUCCGUCGUGAAGAGGGAAACAACCCAGACCGCCAGCUAAGGUCCCAAAGUCAUGGUUAAGUGGGAAACGAUGUGGGAAGGCCCAGACAGCCAGGAUGUUGGCUUAGAAGCAGCCAUCAUUUAAAGAAAGCGUAAUAGCUCACUGGUCGAGUCGGCCUGCGCGGAAGAUGUAACGGGGCUAAACCAUGCACCGAAGCUGCGGCAGCGACGCUUAUGCGUUGUUGGGUAGGGGAGCGUUCUGUAAGCCGUUGAAGGUGGCCUGUGAGGGUUGCUGGAGGUAUCAGAAGUGCGAAUGCUGACAUAAGUAACGAUAAAGCGGGUGAAAAGCCCGCUCGCCGGAAGACCAAGGGUUCCUGUCCAACGUUAAUCGGGGCAGGGUGAGUCGACCCCUAAGGCGAGGCCGAAAGGCGUAGUCGAUGGGAAACAGGUUAAUAUUCCUGUACUUGGUGUUACUGCGAAGGGGGGACGGAGAAGGCUAUGUUAGCCGGGCGACGGUUGUCCCGGUUUAAGCAUGUAGGCGGAGGUUCCAGGUAAAUCCGGUACCUUUUAACGCUGAGGUGUGAUGACGAGGCACUACGGUGCUGAAGUAACAAAUGCCCUGCUUCCAGGAAAAGCCUCUAAGCAUCAGGUAACACGAAAUCGUACCCCAAACCGACACAGGUGGUCAGGUAGAGAAUACCAAGGCGCUUGAGAGAACUCGGGUGAAGGAACUAGGCAAAAUGGUGCCGUAACUUCGGGAGAAGGCACGCUGAUAUGUAGGUGAAGCCCCUGCGGGUGGAGCUGAAAUCAGUCGAAGAUACCAGCUGGCUGCAACUGUUUAUUAAAAACACAGCACUGUGCAAACACGAAAGUGGACGUAUACGGUGUGACGCCUGCCCGGUGCCGGAAGGUUAAUUGAUGGGGUUAGCGGUAACGCGAAGCUCUUGAUCGAAGCCCCGGUAAACGGCGGCCGUAACUAUAACGGUCCUAAGGUAGCGAAAUUCCUUGUCGGGUAAGUUCCGACCUGCACGAAUGGCGUAAUGAUGGCCAGGCUGUCUCCACCCGAGACUCAGUGAAAUUGAACUCGCUGUGAAGAUGCAGUGUACCCGCGGCAAGACGGAAAGACCCCGUGAACCUUUACUAUAGCUUGACACUGAACACUGGUCCUUGAUGUGUAGGAUAGGUGGGAGGCUUUGAAGCGUGGACGCCAGUCUGCGUGGAGCCGACCUUGAAAUACCACCCUUUAAUGGCUGGUGUUCUAACGUAGACCCGUAAUCCGGGUUGCGGACAGUGUCUGGUGGGUAGUUUGACUGGGGCGGUCUCCUCCCAAAGAGUAACGGAGGAGCACGAAGGUUAGCUAAUCCUGGUCGGACAUCAGGAGGUUAGUGCAAUGGCAUAAGCUAGCUUGACUGCGAGAGUGACGGCUCGAGCAGGUGCGAAAGCAGGUCAUAGUGAUCCGGUGGUUCUGAAUGGAAGGGCCAUCGCUCAACGGAUAAAAGGUACUCCGGGGAUAACAGGCUGAUACCGCCCAAGAGUUCAUAUCGACGGCGGUGUUUGGCACCUCGAUGUCGGCUCAUCACAUCCUGGGGCUGAAGUAGGUCCCAAGGGUAUGGCUGUUCGCCAUUUAAAGUGGUACGCGAGCUGGGUUUAGAACGUCGUGAGACAGUUCGGUCCCUAUCUGCCGUGGGCGCUGGAGAAUUGAGGGGGGCUGCUCCUAGUACGAGAGGACCGGAGUGGACGCAUCACUGGUGUUCGGGUUGUCAUGCCAAUGGCACUGCCCGGUAGCUAAAUGCGGAAGAGAUAAGUGCUGAAAGCAUCUAAGCACGAAACUUGCCCCGAGAUGAGUUCUCCCUGAGACUUAAAGUCUCCUGAAGGAACGUUGAAGACGACGACGUUGAUAGGUCGGGUGUGUAAGCGCAGCGAUGCGUUGAGCUAACCGAUACUAAUGAACCGUGAGGCUUAACCUU
This 2904-nucleotide ribosomal RNA is filed under the name Enterobacter cloacae. RNAcentral describes it as "23S ribosomal RNA". It matches the Rfam family "Bacterial large subunit ribosomal RNA". The record is from RNAcentral. Lineage: Bacteria; Pseudomonadati; Pseudomonadota; Gammaproteobacteria; Enterobacterales; Enterobacteriaceae. RNAcentral also lists the same sequence under 1 other name.